AACAAUAACUUAUCGGGAUAUCUUCCACCAGAAUUCUCCAAGUUACACAGUUUGGAAAUACUGCAACUUGAUAACAAUAAUUUCAGCGGGAAUGGAAUUCCUUCUACCUAUGAAAAUUUACCCAGGCUUGUAAAAUUGAGUCUGAGAAAUUGCAGCCUGCAAGGAGCUAUUCCCGAUUUAAAUUCAAUACCAAGUC
Long non-coding RNA from Lathyrus oleraceus (garden pea), 196 nucleotides. RefSeq lists it as uncharacterized. The transcript has 3 exons. NCBI's taxonomy places the organism in Eukaryota, Viridiplantae, Streptophyta, Magnoliopsida, Fabales, Fabaceae. The record is from RefSeq and is a predicted model, not a curated record.